This 336-nucleotide ribosomal RNA is filed under the name uncultured bacterium. Its description in RNAcentral is "partial 16S ribosomal RNA". It matches the Rfam family "Bacterial small subunit ribosomal RNA", at positions 338 to 691 of the family's 1533-position model. The record is from RNAcentral.
CCUACGGGUGGCAGCAGUAGGGAAUAUUGCUCAAUGGGGGAAACCCUGAAGCAGCAAAGCCGCGUGGAGGAUGAAGGUUUUCGGAAUGUAAACUCCUUUUGGUAGAGAAGAAAAUGACGGUAUCUAACGAAUAAGCAGCGGCUAACUCCGAGCCCGAAGCCGCGGCAACACGGAGGGUGCAAGCGUUCCUCGGAAUCACUGGGCGUAAAGAGCGCGUAGGGGGGAUAGCAAGUCAGAUGUGAAAUCCUAGGGCUUAACCCUAGAACUGCAUUUGAAACUGUUAUUCUAGAGUAUGGGAGAGGUAUGUGGAAUUCUUGGUGUAGUGGUUAAAUCCGU